GGUAAGAGCAAGUAAGAGAGCCGAGGCGCCCACACGGACAAAGCGGUGGGCCGCAGGUGGCCCAGCGCGCCGUCACCGGCUCACCCACACCAAACGCUCACACCCCAGCGUGCAGACCACCGGGUAAAGCACGGCCUGCCCCGCAAAGGGGACACGUGUGCCCGUCUUACCAGCUCCACCCGCUCCGCCUACACUCCACCGCCAGCGGUGACCUAGGAGGCCCUUGGAAAAGGAAGCAGCACCGAAGGGCGACCUGGAACGCUGCAGCGGCACCACGGAGGGCCAGGGGCCACACGCUGCCACUGCCUCGGCCACAAGCCGUGGGGUGGCAGCAGGGCCUUCCCCACCACAGGGAGGGCCACUCACAGCCACAGCCAAGAGGAAGUCACAACACACUUCAGCUGUGCCAAGGAGGAUACGAGCUGAGGAAGAGCCUUACAACGGGUAGAGUCAAGAGGCCAUGGAGAAUAAUGUGCAAGAGGUCCUUACAGAGAGCUGACCUGGGGAAGAAUCAAGGUUCUUCUGUUCUCCAGAAAAUAUUUUCUAACCAUGCUUUGGAAGAUGGUGGAGUCAUUAGAUGCAAGGAGAUGGAAUUCCUAAUCACUAAUGAGGAAGGCUUACCACUGAACCCUCAACUGGAUCAUGACAUGAAUGAGAAAUUACCCUUUACUGUGCAUAAAUCCCUAAGAGUAGAAGAGGUGGAUUUUAUGGUAAGUAUUGUUUAUAUUUAUAAAAAUUGACAUGUUUUUGAAAGUGGUUGUAUAAUUUGUACUCUCACCAGCAACAUAUGAGCGUUUAUUUUACAUUUCCCUGAUGACUAAUGGUGAGUAUGUUUUUAUGUGCUUAUUGCUAUUCUUAUAUUUUCUUUUGUAAAGUGCUAUUCAAGUCUUUUGCUCAUUAAAAAAACUUGUUUCUUUGUCACUGAAUUGUAAGAGCCUUUCAUAUAUUCUUUAUAUACAGUUAUUUUUAUGUAUGUUUAUGUAUUCUGGAUAAAAGCCAUUUGUUAGAAAUUGUAAAUAUUGUCUCCUUUUUCAUUUUCUUAAAGUUAUACUUUAAAAAGUAGAUGUUUAAAUAAUAUUUUCCUUAAUACUUUUUUGGUCUGAGAAAAUGUUUGUCUUCUCUAAUGUCACCUUUUUAAAGUGAAGAGUUAUCUCUGAUUCUAGGGAUUGUUCACAGGCAUUCAAUAGUGAUGUCUAUGCAAUUGUUGAAUUCAUGAUUAUUAGAGCUGGAGGAGCAUGGAUCUAAUGCAGCUAAUUGUCAUCCCAUUUAGUUGCUGAUUAAGAACACAGGUGGCUAGUUCAAGCCAUAUGUGACACCAUCAGAUUGGGAUUGAAUCUGUCAUAAUGUUGCCACUUAAUUUGAUCUUUGCAGCUUUUGUUCUCAAGGCACCAAAGAAGCAAGUUCAGUAUUAACCACACAGUUGCAAGCAAUAGAAAGCCAACCUGUUUUAAGCAAUAAAUGGAUUUAUAGGAAGGGUAUUGAGUAGCUCACAAGAAUUGGGGGAAUCUGCAAAAAUAGUCUUAGAAAACAGGCAGAAACCAAGAGGACUCUCGAGGCAGAAAGGCUGGAAGAUUCUGGCAUGAUGCUUUCUCUGCUAGCGCUCUGCCAACAUCUUCUUUGUGGCAUUCCUCCAGUUAACAGAGAAGUUUGGUUUCCUGGAACCUCAGAUGAUGGGUAAUAUAUUAUGUGUUCAUCUACCUUCACAUGGCUUCAGUUCCCUACCCUCAUAUGUGAUAAAUUCCUUAAGUGUCCCUAAUCCAUAGAAUGAGCCUUAAUGAUUUUACCAAUGGCCCUCAUCAAUAUUUCACAAUAAUAACUGGCCCCUACUGCAGUUCAGGGCUGAUUAUUUCCACUUCUGGGGAUAAGAAACUGGAGAAAGAGAAGCAAUUAUUGCAUCUUGCACUGACUGAUGGAGUGCUUCUCAUCCGUAUCAAGUCAGAUCAUAAAAUACAUAAAACUGAAUAAAAAAUUAGCAGCAUGUAGAAAAGUGUUUCUACUGACCUCAAAAGCAGUCAAGGAGUCACUGAUCUGGGGUCACAAGAAGGACUAUUAUCAUUGCCUGUUUUCCAUGAAGUGUUUACACUUGACACUCUAUUUGGCAAUAAGCUCAAGGUUAUGCUGUCAGUGCAAGAUCAUUAGCUUUACAAUUUUUCAGAAAGUGUUUGCCUUAGCAAAUCCUCAUUCCAACCUCAAUGAACAUGUUUAUGUCCAGGUGUAAAUCCUUUUGCUGGAAGAUCUGCUUGCUAAUUACACUGGCUGUUGUUCUUUAUUUCUCUGUGCAUGAAUUGGGCAGCAGAAAUUCAUCAGAAACUUUCUCUUCCUGAAUGCCACUAGUGGAAGUUUUUAACAUAAGCUUGGGUGGUUGUGAAUUGGUAAGCAGUUUCCUCCUGUUAGCUAUCCAGAGCAAGGUCUAAGGAACUGUGUCUCUUUCACCUCAACAUCAUCAAGGAAACAAGAAAAAGUGACAGAUGUCUAGUUAUUUUUGGUUAAAGUGGUGUCAGUUUGAUGUCAGAAAAUGUUUGGGCUGAUGAAUAUCUUCUUUUUAAAUUUUCCCCUGAAUGCUCCUUGAAAAGGAAGGCAAAGUGCUUUGGUGGUGGGUGGAGAGGCCUGGCUUUUGGUGAAUGCACAUGAGACUAACUAAAGAGUAACUAGAACUUGGUAGGUAUUGUGUCAGGACUUGCAGUUGUCCCUACAUUAAAAAAACAGAACAAAACCCUCAGUCUAGGAGAGAGAACACCAUGUGAAGAAGUCAUGACAAUAGUAUAUAAUUCAUAUAAGGGAAUUGUAUUUUUCCACAGAGGCAAAAGAAAUGGCUUUUUGGGAGGAGCACAUUGAUAAAGUAUAUAAGGCAAGGUUCUCCAGAGAAAGAGAACAAAUAGGAUUUAUUUGUUUGUUUGUUUGUUUGUUUAUUAUAGGUAUUGACUUGUGUGAUUAGGGAGGUAAAAAAGUCUCAUGAUUGCUGUCUGCAAGCUGGAAACCCAGGAAAGCUGGUGGUAUAAGUCCUGCCAAGUCUAAAGGCCCAAGUGCCAUUGUCUGGGGGCAGAAGGAAAUGAGUGUCCAAGCUCAGAUAGAACAAAUUUACCCUUUCCUUGCCUUUUUGGUCUAUUCAGACCCUUAAUAGAUUGGAUUGGAUAAUGCCUACCACCAUGUUUGAAGGUGAUCUUCUUUACUUUGUCUACCAAUUCACAUGCUAAUCUCUUCUAGAAGCACUCACAGAUAUUCCCAGAAAUAAUGUUUCACCAGCUAAUUGGGCAUUUCAAAACCCAGUCAAGUUGACACAUAAAAUUAACCAUCACGUAAGGCUUCAUAUAGGAGGUGACAUUUUUUGUGGUCUUACAGGUAAUUGAGAGAUUAACAAAUUUGGUUUUAAAAUCUGCUAUACAUUCAACGUUUUCAGUGUUAAAUUUGACCUAUACAGUCACAUAUAUAUUACCACUUUUUCUCACUCAUUCCUUCGGUGACUAUUGAAAUAAUAUUUUACAUUUUUAUGUAUCACAAAAUUAAAGUUAUACAUACAUAUAUACGUACAUAGUUUUAAUUGAUAGACCUGGUUAGGGAGGUCUCUGGAGUCUGAUCCCAAGAAAAUACUGAGGCAGAACACAUUUGAAAAGGACAAGGCCUUUAUAAUGGUCAUCCAAGAAUCUUGCUAGCCGGUGGCAUGUUACCCUGAAAGCAAAAACGCACUGAAAUAUGACUUUGUAGAGUCAGAAGAUGUGGGUUGUAUUUCUGGCUUGGCCACAUUGAAAGUGUGUGAUUUCACAUAAAGCCAUCUGUCCUACUUCUAUUCCCAAGGUUAUGGUGAGUAUCAAGCCAAAUAAAAUAGUUGUAUUAGUCAAGGUUUCCCAGAGAAACAGAACCAAUAAAGACAUUUAGCGUAAGAAAUUGGCUCACAGUAUUAUGGAGGCUGCCAAGUCCAAAUAUCCACAGUUGACAACCUGGAGACUCAGUAGAACUGAAAGUGUAGUUCUAGUCUGAAAAAGUGUAGUUCUAGUCUAGGCUUGAGAAAGAACCAGAAGAGCUAAUGCUAUAGUUUCAGUCCUAAGGCCAGCAGGACUUGAGAACCAGGAAGAGCUGAUGUUCCAGUUCAAAUCCAAGCAGGAAAUAAAGUCCCAGCUCAAAGGCAGUCAGGCAAGAGGAAGUCUCUCUUACUUCAAAUGUGCACUUAGCGUCCUCUAUUUUCUGGAUGUUGAUGAUACAGAGACGAAUGAGAGCAAAUUACCAUGAGGUUCUCCAAGUCUAGAAGAUGAUUUUUCCCACCUGGAUAGAGGCAGAGGACUGUGGAAUGUGGGGUUAUACACCCAGAACACCAGGUUCAGAUCCCAGGUCCACCCUUGCUAGCUGUGACACCUUGAGGACAUCGUGCCAUCUCUCUAUGCCUUAAUUUUCUUACUGGUAAAAUCCUCUACCAAGAGAAACAUAUAGCACAAGCCAAAAACAGUUUCCUGCAGCAUUUUUUCAUGGGAUCUGCAUUUGAGAAAAUUGGUUUUCCAAAGGAAUAAAAAGGUAAGAUCAUAUCAGAGCAGAGAUUGGCCAAAAAAACCAAUACAUUCCAACAUGUAUGAAUUUUAAGUGUGUUAAUUCUCACAUAAAAAUAGAAGCAUACAAUAUCUUUGUAAUUAAAUUUGAUUUAAUGAAAGUGAGACUUUCUCCCCUAAGAGUUUAUUAAAUGCUUUGAGGUGGGGUGGGAGAAGCAUGAAAAAUAAUUUCAGGGGUGCC
This is a long non-coding RNA of Felis catus (domestic cat), 4716 nucleotides long. RefSeq lists it as uncharacterized. The transcript is spliced from 8 exons. NCBI's taxonomy places the organism in Eukaryota, Metazoa, Chordata, Mammalia, Carnivora, Felidae. The record is from RefSeq and is a predicted model, not a curated record.